Molecule: ribosomal RNA, 538 nt
Filed under: uncultured bacterium
Lineage: Bacteria
Description: bacterial SSU rRNA
Rfam family: Archaeal small subunit ribosomal RNA
Source: RNAcentral
AGAGAAUAGAUACCCGGGUAGUCCCAGCUGUAAACGAUGCAGACUCGGUGAUGAAUUGGCUUAUUGCUAAAUUCAGUGCCGCAGGGAAGCCGUUAAGUUUGCCGCCUGGGGAGUACGGUCGCAAGACUGAAACUUAAAGGAAUUGGCGGGGAGCACCACAAGGGGUGAAGCCUGCGGUUCAAUUGGAGUCAACGCCGGAAAUCUUACCGGGGGCGACAGCAGAGUGAAGGUCAAGCUGAAGACUUUACCAGACAAGCUGAGAGGAGGUGCAUGGCCGUCGCCAGCUCGUGCCGUGAGGUGUCCUGUUAAGUCAGGUAACGAGCGAGAUCCCUGCCUCUAGUUGCUACCAUUAUUCUCAGGAGUAGUGGAGCUAAUUAGAGGGACCGCCGUCGCUGAGACGGAGGAAGGUGGGGGCUACGGCAGGUCAGUAUGCCCCGAAACCCUCGGGCCACACGCGGGCUGCAAUGGUAAGGACAAUGAGUUUCGAUUCCGAAGGGAGGAGGCAAUCUCUAAACCUUACCACAGUUAUGAUUGAGGG